UAUUAAAAAAAAUCAUGACAGCUGUGAUGGAAACAGGAAGCUUUAGUACAAUUUUAUAAAUGCAGACAGAUAAUUUGUUGUUUGACAAGGUGGGAUCUUUUUGUGUCAAUAAAAUGUAUUAUGCGAGAAAUGGUGGUGGAAAUGCCUUUAUGAUGGUCCAUUCCAAUAAAUAUUGAAGGUCUUAUUCUAGUGACAUGACGAUUGAUGGUUGACUGCCGUUUGACAAAUAAAAAUAUUCUCGCUCUAAUCCAUAAUAAUCUCAUCAUGUAGACUAACCUACCUGCACCACCUGCCUGCACCGUAUCUGCGAGCUGUUGACUGACUAGAGCACGGUGCAUUUGCUAUUUAACUCAACAGUUUUUAUAUUUUAGCCAUUUAGCUGACACUCUUAUCCAGAGUGACUUAUUGUAGUGAGUGCAGACAUUUUCAAACUUUUCUUCCAUACUGUUUUUUGUAACAGUUGAAAGUGCGAUGGGUUGAAAGUGCGAUGGAAACACAUUGAACUUUAUAGAUGUUUAUUCAGAACAUGAAAACUUAAGCGAAAAAGUACAUUUUGUGUGCACUACGUCAUCACACUGAUUUUUAUCUGCAACAAGUCAGUUUGGUGGAAACACACCACUGGUGGGGAAAUGUGCUUAUGUUCUUCAUGCAGAUUUUAGAAUAUUAGCAUAAAAAUCUGUUGCCAACUGGACGGAAACCUAGCUAUUGUUUAAGGUAGAUUUGUGGCAGUGCUUUUCUAACCAGGGGGGUGUAUGUGUUUCAGAGUAUGUGGGUUUUUAAUGAAAAUAGCUAGGCAGACAACGGUAUACAGUAUCUUUGACAAACAAAAGCAGACAAAGUCAUACUACAGGAGAUGUCAUCCCUUUUAGAGCAGGCCUACACAUAAUGGGUUUAACAGAGAGAGGGAGAGAGGACAAAUUAGUGCCAAGGAAGUGUAUUGGCGACAUCAGGGUUGUGUAAGAAUGCAAGUGAAGUACAGAAAACAUAAGUUGUUACACAAUUGGUGUGACUCAGGCAUGAUUUAAAAGGGAAAAGGAAAGGGGGAUACCUAGUCAGUUGCACAACUGAAAUGUGUCUUCUGCAUUUAACCCAACCCCUCUGAAUCAGAGAGGUGUAGGGGAGCUGCCUUAAUCGACAUCCACGUCUUCAGCGCCCGGGGAACAGUGGGUUAAUUGCCUUGCUCAGAGGCAGAACGACAGAUUUUUACGUUGUCAGCUCGGGGAUUCGAUCCAGCAACCUUUCAGUUACUGGCCCAACGCUCCUACCCGCCGGGCUACAAAAAGCCUGUGUACCACAUGUGCAGCACACGUGGAACCACUCAUCGCCACAUAUCACAGUGGUGUAGGCAUAAUUCUUUGCAUCCCAGGUGAACUGUAAAAAUUGACAACACUUUUUUUGUGUGUAUUUCCAUUCUGACAGACUACAUAAUGAUAACAACACCCAGUCAUCAAACUCAAUGAGAUAAUUUGUGUGUCAGUGUGUGUGUGCAUGUGCAUGUUUGUGUGCUCCUCUCCAGGUAGAGUGCUCCUCUAGGUAGAGUACUCCUCUCUAGGUAGAGUGCUCCUCUCUAGGUAGAGUGCUCCUCUAGGUAGAGUACUCCUCUCUAGGUAGAGUGCACCUCUCUAGGUAGAGUGCUCCGCUCUAGGUAGAGUGCUCCUCUCUAGGUAGAGUGCUCCUCUAGGUAGAGUACUCCUCUCUAGGUAGAGUGCUCCUCUCUAGGUAGAGUGCUCCUCUCUAGGUAGAGUGCUCCUCUCUAGGCAGAGUACUCCUCUCUAGGUAGAGUAGUCCUCUCUAGGCAGAAUACUCCUCUCUAGGUAGAGUACUCCUCUCUAGGUAGAGUACUCCUCUCUAGGUAGAGUGCUCCUCUCUAGGUAGAGUACUCCUCUCUAGGUAGAGUGCUCCUCUCUAGGUAGAGUACUCCUCUCUAGGUAGAGUACUCCUCUCUAGGUAGAGUGCUCCUCUCUAAGUAGAGUACUCCUCUCUAGGUAGAGUACUCCUCUCUAGGUAGAGUGCUCCUCUCUAGGUGAAUGCUACUUCUUCCUCAUCAGGGUCCUACUUUUAGCCAGAGCUAUUUGUUUUUGCACUCUGUUACUAAGCAACAUCACAGACCCUUCUCACAGAAAGGCCGUUAUGAAAACAUGUGUACAGUGGAGGAAAGGGCAUACUUAGUCAGUUGCACAACUGAAUGCAUUCAACUGAAAUGUGUCUUCCUCAUUUAACCCAACUCAUCUGAAUCAGAGAGGUGCGGGGGGCUGCCUUAAUCGACGUCCACGUCAUCGGCACCCAAGGAACAGUUUUUGUUGAGGGUUAACUGCCUUGCUCAAUGGCAGAACGGCAGAUUUGUCCACCUUGCCGGCUCGGGGUGUGUGUGUGUAUGGGCGUGUGUGUGUCAGACCUGGGUUCAAAUGCUAUUUAGGAAUUUAAAUUACUUUCAAAGACAUUUGGAAGAAAGUGUUAGGAUAUACAGUGCAUUCGGAAAAUAUUCAGUCCCCUUGACUUUUUGUUACGUUACAGCCUUAUUCUAAAACGUAUUACAUUGUACCGCCAUAAUAACAAAGCAAAAACAAUUUAUCAAUUUUAACAAAUGUAUAAAAUAUUAAACUGAAAUAUCACAUUUGCAUAAGUAUUCAGACCCUUUACUUUGUUGAAGCACCUUUAGCAGUGAUUACAGCUUUGAGUCUUCUUGGGUUUGAUGCUACAAGCUUGGUACACCUGUAUUUGGGGAGUUUCUUCCAUUCUUCUCUGCAGAUCCUCUUAAGCUCUGUCAGGUUGGAUAGGGAGUGUCGCUGCACAGCUAUUUUCAGGUCUCUCCAGAGAUGUUCAAAUCGGGUUAAAUUCCGGGGUCUGGCUGGGCCACUCAAGGACAUUCAGAGACUUGUCCCGAAGCCACUCCUGCAUUGUCUUGGCUGUGUGCUUAGGGUCAUUGUUGUGUUGGAAGGUGAACCUUCACCCCAGGCUGAUGUCCUGAGUGCUCUGGAGCAGGUUUUCAUCAAGGAUCUCUGUACUUUGCUCCAUUCAUCUUUCCCUCAAUCCUGACUAGUCUCAGAGUCCCUGCCCCUGAAAAACAUCCCUACAGCAUGAUACUGCCACCACCAUGCUUCACCGUAGGGAUGGUGCCACAUUUUCUCCAGACGUGACACUUGGCAUUCAGGCCAAAAAGUUCAAUCUGGUUUCAUUAGACCAGAGAAUCUGGUUUCUCAUGGUCUGAGAGUCUUGAGGUGCCUUUUGGCAGACUCCAAGUGGGCUGUCAUGUGCCUUUUACUGAAGAGUGGCUUCUUUCUGUCCACUACCGUAAAGGCCUGAUUAGUGGAGUGCUGCAGAGAUGGUUGUCCUUCUGGAAGGUUCUCCCAUCUCCACAGAGGAAUUCUGGAGCUCUGUCAGACUGACCAUCGGGUUCUUGGUCACCUCCCUGACCAAGGCCCUUCUCCCCCGAUUGCUCAGUGUGGCCGGGCGGCCAGCCCUAGAAAGAGUAUUGGUGGUUCCAAACUUCUUCCAUUUUAGAAUGAUGGAGGCCACUGUAUUCUUGGGAUCUUAAAUGCUGCAGAAAUGUUUUGGUACCCUUCCCCAGAUCUGUGCCUCGACAAAAUCCUGUCUCGGAGCUCUACGGACAAUUCCUUUGACCUCAUGGCUCGGUUUUUGCUCUGACAUGCACUGUCAACUGUGGGACCUCAUAUAGACAGAUGUGAGCCUUUCCAAGUCAUGUCCAAUCAAUUGAAUUUACCACAGGUGGACUCCAAUCAAGUUGUAGAAACAUCUCAAGGAUGAUCAAUGGAAACAGGAUGCACCUGAGCUCAAUUUCGAAUCUCAUAGCAAAGGGUCUGAAUAC
This 3826-nucleotide long non-coding RNA is filed under the name Salmo salar (Atlantic salmon). RNAcentral describes it as "lncRNA (ENSSSAG00000091616.1)". Lineage: Eukaryota; Metazoa; Chordata; Actinopteri; Salmoniformes; Salmonidae. The record is from RNAcentral.